CCUACGGGUGGCAGCAGUAGGGAAUCUUCCACAAUGGGCGAAAGCCUGAUGGAGCAACGCCGCGUGGGUGAAGAAGGUCUUCGGAUCGUAAAACCCUGUUGUUAGAGAAGAAAGUGCGUGAAAGUAACUGUUCACGUUUCGACGGUAUCUAACCAGACAGCCACGGCUAACUACGUGCCAGCAGCCGCGGUGAUACGUAGGUGGCAAGCGUUAUCCGGAUUUAUUGGGCGUAAAGGGAACGCAGGCGGUCUUUUAAGUCUGAUGUGAAAGCCUUCGGCUUAACCGGAGUAGUGCAUUGGAAACUGGGAGACUUGAGUGCAGAAGAGGAGAGUGGAACUCCAUGUGUAGCGGUGAAAUGCGUAGAUAUAUGGAAGAACACCAGUGGCGAAAGCGGCUUUCUGGUCUGUAACUGACGCUGAGGUUCGAAAGCGUGGGUAGCAAACAGGAUUAGAUACCCUUGUAGUC
RNAcentral lists this ribosomal RNA (465 nucleotides) under uncultured bacterium. RNAcentral's name for it is "partial 16S ribosomal RNA". It matches the Rfam family "Bacterial small subunit ribosomal RNA", at positions 338 to 795 of the family's 1533-position model. The record is from RNAcentral.